GAGUUGUUCGAGACAUUUAUAGCGUUUUUUUUCUCUCCUCCAUAUCACCCCCGCGGCUCCAAAGAUGCGCUCACAGAAAAGAAGAAGACAACGAAGCAGUCCGCCGUCUUCACAACUCUGAGAUAAACUGUAGCAGGCACUACGAACCGGAGCAAGGACUAACCUCGCCUCAUAACGAGGCUGUGACCUAU
Molecule: long non-coding RNA, 191 nt
Organism: Perca fluviatilis (European perch)
Lineage: Eukaryota; Metazoa; Chordata; Actinopteri; Perciformes; Percidae
Exons: 3
Source: RefSeq, a predicted model, not a curated record